Molecule: ribosomal RNA, 261 nt
Filed under: uncultured archaeon
Lineage: Archaea
Description: partial 16S ribosomal RNA
Rfam family: Archaeal small subunit ribosomal RNA
Source: RNAcentral
CAGCCCUAAACGAUGCGCGUUAGGUGUAUCGGUGACCACGAGUCACCGAGGUGCCGAAGGGAAACCGUGAAACGUGCCGCCUGGGAAGUACGGUCGCAAGGCUGAAACUUAAAGGAAUUGGCGGGGGAGCACCACAACGGGUGGAGCUUGCGGUUUAAUUGGGUUCAACGCCGGAAAUCUUACCGGGACCGACAGCAACAUGAAGGCCAGGCUGAAGACUUUGCCGGAUUAGCUGAGAGGUGGUGCAUGGCGUCAGUGACU